GAUGAACGCUAGCGGCAGGCUUAAUACAUGCAAGUCGAGGGGCAGCGCAGUGUAGCAAUACAUGGGCGGCGACCGGCAAACGGGUGCGGAACACGUACAGAACCUUCCUUUAAGUGGGGAAUAGCCCAGGGAAACUUGGAUUAAUACCCCGUAAUAUUAUGGAGUGGCAUCACUUUAUAAUUAUAGCUCCGGCGCUUGAAGAUGGCUGUGCGGCUGAUUAGGUAGUUGGCGGGGUAACGGCCCACCAAGCCUACGAUCAGUAACUGGUGU
RNAcentral lists this ribosomal RNA (270 nucleotides) under uncultured bacterium. RNAcentral describes it as "partial 16S ribosomal RNA". It matches the Rfam family "Bacterial small subunit ribosomal RNA", at positions 28 to 293 of the family's 1533-position model. The record is from RNAcentral.